GAUGAACGCUGGCGGCGUGCCUAAUACAUGCAAGUCGAGCGAACAGACGAGGAGCUUGCUCCUCUGACGUUAGCGGCGGACGGGUGAGUAACACGUGGAUAACCUACCUAUAAGACUGGGAUAACUUCGGGAAACCGGAGCUAAUACCGGAUAACAUGUUGAACCGCAUGGUUUAACAGUGAAAGACGGUCUUGCUGUCACUUAUAGAUGGAUCCGCGCCGCAUUAGCUAGUUGGUAAGGUAACGGCUUACCAAGGCAACGAUGCGUAGCCGACCUGAGAGGGUGAUCGGCCACACUGGAACUGAGACACGGUCCAGACUCCUACGGGAGGCAGCAGUAGGGAAUCUUCCGCAAUGGGCGAAAGCCUGACGGAGCAACGCCGCGUGAGUGAAGAAGGUCUUCGGAUCGUAAAACUCUGUUAUUAGGGAAGAACAAAUGUGUAAGUAACUAUGCACGCCUUGACGGUACCUAAUCAGAAAGCCACGGCUAACUACGUG
RNAcentral lists this ribosomal RNA (497 nucleotides) under uncultured bacterium. Its description in RNAcentral is "partial 16S ribosomal RNA". It matches the Rfam family "Bacterial small subunit ribosomal RNA", at positions 28 to 507 of the family's 1533-position model. The record is from RNAcentral.